ACGCUUGAAGUCAGUCGCGUCGGCUAGAAAUCAACCUUGCUUUUGCUUGGUGUACUUUCUGGUUCGACGGGUCAGCAUCAAUUUUGACCGCUGGAUAAAGUCUUUGGGAAUGUGGCAUCUUUUUUGAUGUGUUAUAGCCCAUGGUCGCAUACAGUGGUUGGGAUUGAGGAAUUCAGCACGCCGCAAGGCCAGGUUAUAUACCAUGUUCUCGUGCUUAGGAUGCUGGCAUAAUGGCUUUAAUCGACCCGUCUUGAAACACGGACCAAGGAGUC
Molecule: ribosomal RNA, 272 nt
Filed under: Inocybe pelargonium
Lineage: Eukaryota; Fungi; Basidiomycota; Agaricomycetes; Agaricales; Inocybaceae
Description: partial large subunit ribosomal RNA
Rfam family: Eukaryotic large subunit ribosomal RNA
Source: RNAcentral